RNAcentral lists this unclassified non-coding RNA (370 nucleotides) under Hevea brasiliensis (rubber tree). Lineage: Eukaryota; Viridiplantae; Streptophyta; Magnoliopsida; Malpighiales; Euphorbiaceae. The record is from RNAcentral.
GGGCGAGACAUGACCGCGACUUAAGAUUCAAGUACCGUCGAAAAGACUAAAGGAACGGGGGGAAUGACUACCUGUAAUAAAGCACAGGCUAAUACGAGCCGACCAGAAGAAGCAAGGCUUAGAUUACCAGAUCCUGGACACAAUCUUCCUAGAGAUGGAGAGCCCCUUGCCUCGCCUUUUCUAGGUUUUUUUCUGAGUGUUAAAACGGGUAGAUUUUUCAUUUACCAAUGAAUUGGAUCCGCCCCGAUUCGAUCAAUAAUGGGAUUCUUGGCUAGAAGAAAGGUUCUGUGACAUGGACGCCCAGCCCAACUCGAUCGGUCGGUUGGCUCACCUAACAGAUGAUGAGAUUCUCGAUCGAUUUGAUCGAAUU